CACUGUUCCCUCAUCAUGUCUCGUUUCCAAUUAUUAUUAUGCAGCUUGGUUUUUGAAUGUGCUGAAUUAUUUUUUAGAUGAAACGACACGUCUGAUUUGCCUUCAUAUUUUUUUAAUCAAUCCAAUUUUUAAGAUUCCUGCACUGCUGUUUUGCCUCGCUGCUUCCCUGCACUUGGGUCCACCUUCUUGCCUGCUUUAACACCACGAAAACAUCAACCUGACACACCGAUUAUUCUGCACAUAGUCUCUUGGAGUGGCCGGAUUUCCAUUCAUGUAGCUGGGGACGCAUUAUCAUCCAGCGCGGUAGCGCCGGAACGGAGCGACCAGCAUGCCGCUCGUUGCGUGGGAUUAAAGUGGAGAGGCCACCGAAGAUGAAUCAAUCAAUUUGAGGAGAACUUUCAGAAGACGCAUUCAAAAGUGUAACUGUGAAACUGCCCUGUUUCAAUACAUACCUACAACUACCUAUUUCUUGCUAGUAAUAUUAAAAAACCGGCUGGCGCCAUACUCCUCUCCCAGGCCUAGCCGUGGAGACGAACGACACCAGAUAAGGAGGGGAAAGUUACCAUCCCGGCCCAGGAUCUGACUCUACCAUGGACCCAUACAUACAAAAACUUUGUGUUACUCGGCAGCUUUUGUCUUCUCCUUUGGCUAUCCUGGCAGAAGACACACAUCUCGUGUGCGGCAGAUACCUAGAUAAGACCCGGUCGUCUGUACUGCACAUUCCUUUGUAAUAAAUCCAUUAGCUAUUUUUUUCUAAUCAUUGGUCAUA
Molecule: long non-coding RNA, 769 nt
Organism: Syngnathoides biaculeatus (alligator pipefish)
Lineage: Eukaryota; Metazoa; Chordata; Actinopteri; Syngnathiformes; Syngnathidae
Exons: 3
Source: RefSeq, a predicted model, not a curated record